AUACGUAUGGGGCAAGCGUUGUUCGGAAUUAUUGGGCGUAAAGGGCGUCUAGGCGGGGGAUUAAGUUAGAUGUGAAAGCCAUGGGCUCAACCCAUGAACUGCAUCUAAGACUGGUUCUCUUGAGUUCGGGAGAGGAGAGCGGAAUUCCAGGUGUAGCGGUGAAAUGCGUAGAUAUCUGGAAGAACACCAGUGGCGAAGGCGGCUCUCUGGCCUAGAACUGACGCUGAAGCGCGAAAGCGUGGGGAGC
Molecule: ribosomal RNA, 247 nt
Filed under: uncultured bacterium
Lineage: Bacteria
Description: partial 16S ribosomal RNA
Rfam family: Bacterial small subunit ribosomal RNA
Source: RNAcentral